ACAGUGGACGCGAGCAUCUGUGGCCAAGUUUUUAAGGGCGCACGGUGGAUGCCUUGGCACCAGGAACCGAUGAAGGACGUGGGAGGCCGCGAUAGUCCCCGGGGAGUCGUCAACCAGGCUUUGAUCCGGGGGUUUCCGAAUGGGGAAACCCGGCAGUCGUCAUGGGCUGUCACCCACUGCUGAACACAUAGGCAGUGUGGAGGGAACGCGGGGAAGUGAAACAUCUCAGUACCCGCAGGAAGAGAAAACAACCGUGAUUCCGGGAGUAGUGGCGAGCGAAACCGGAUGAGGCCAAACCUACGACGUGUGAGACCCGGCAGGGGUUGCGUCGUGGGGGUUGUGGGAUCUCUCUUUCACAGUCUGCCGGCUGUGAGACGAGUCAGAAACCGUUGAUGUAGGCGAAGGACAUGCGAAAGGUCCGGCGUAGAGGGUAAGACCCCCGUAGUCGAAACGUCAGCGGCUCGUUUGAGAGACACCCAAGUAGCACGGGGCCCGAGAAAUCCCGUGUGAAUCUGGCGGGACCACCCGCUAAGCCUAAAUAUUCCCUGGUGACCGAUAGCGGAUAGUACCGUGAGGGAAUGGUGAAAAGUACCCCGGGAGGGGAGUGAAAUAGUACCUGAAACCGUGUGCCUACAAGCCGUGGGAGCGUCGGAAUGGAGCUUGCUCCAUUCUCGUGACUGCGUGCCUUUUGAAGAAUGAGCCUGCGAGUUUGCGGUGUGUUGCGAGGUUAACCCGGGUGGGGUAGCCGUAGCGAAAGCGAGUCCGAAUAGGGCGUUUCAGUAGCACGCUCAAGACCCGAAGCGGAGUGAUCUAGCCAUGGGCAGGUUGAAGCGGAGGUAAGACUUCGUGGAGGACCGAACCCACCAGGGUUGAAAACCUGGGGGAUGACCUGUGGUUAGGGGUGAAAGGCCAAUCAAACUCCGUGAUAGCUGGUUCUCCCCGAAAUGCAUUUAGGUGCAGCGUCGUGUGUUUCUUGCCGGAGGUAGAGCACUGGAUAGGCGAUGGGCCCUACCGGGUUACUGACCUUAGCCAAACUCCGAAUGCCGGUAAGUGAGAGCGCGGCAGUGAGACUGUGGGGGAUAAGCUCCAUGGUCGAGAGGGAAACAGCCCAGAGCAUCGACUAAGGCCCCUAAGCGUACGCUAAGUGGGAAAGGAUGUGGAGUCGCACAGACAACCAGGAGGUUGGCUUAGAAGCAGCCACCCUUGAAAGAGUGCGUAAUAGCUCACUGGUCUAGUGAUUCCGCGCCGACAAUGUAGCGGGGCUCAAGCGUACCGCCGAAGUCGUGUCAUUGACACAUAUAGCCCCAACGGGUGUGUUGAUGGGUAGGGGAGCGUCGUCUGCCGGGUGAAGCAGCACCGGAAGGUAGUUGUGGACGGUUGACGAGUGAGAAUGCAGGCAUGAGUAGCGAUACAAACGUGAGAAAACGUUUGCGCCGAUUGACUAAGGGUUCCUGGGUCAAGCUGAUCUGCCCAGGGUAAGUCGGGACCUAAGGCGAGGCCGACAGGCGUAGUCGAUGGAUAACCGGUUGAUAUUCCGGUACCCGCUGUGAAGCGUCAAACAUCGAAUCCAGUGAUGCUAAGCCCGUGAAGCCGCCCCUGAUCUCUUCGGAGUGAGGGGGAGUGGUGGAGCCGGUGACCCGAGCUGGUAGUAGGUGAGUGAUGGGGUGACGCAGGAAGGUAGUCCAUCCCGGGCGGUGGUUGUCCCGGGGUAAGGGUGUAGGACGCAGGGUAGGCAAAUCCGCCCUGCACAUAGUCUGAGACCUGAUGCCGAGCCGAUUGUGGUGAAGUGGAUGAUCCUAUGCUGUCGAGAAAAGCCUCUAGCGAGUUUCAUGGCGGCCCGUACCCUAAACCGACUCAGGUGGUCAGGUAGAGAAUACCGAGGCGUUCGGGUGAACUAUGGUUAAGGAACUCGGCAAAAUGCCCCCGUAACUUCGGGAGAAGGGGGCCAUUCCUGGUGACCGGCUUUGCGCCGUGAGCUGGGGGUGGCCGCAGAGACCAGCGAGAAGCGACUGUUUACUAAAAACACAGGUCCGUGCGAAGCCGUAAGGCGAUGUAUACGGACUGACGCCUGCCCGGUGCUGGAACGUUAAGGGGACCGGUUAGUGACCUUUCGGGGUUUGCGAAGCUGAGAACUUAAGCGCCAGUAAACGGCGGUGGUAACUAUAACCAUCCUAAGGUAGCGAAAUUCCUUGUCGGGUAAGUUCCGACCUGCACGAAUGGCGUAACGACUUCUCGACUGUCUCAACCAUAGGCCCGGUGAAAUUGCACUACGAGUAAAGAUGCUCGUUUCGCGCAGCAGGACGGAAAGA
This 2309-nucleotide ribosomal RNA is filed under the name Streptomyces actuosus. RNAcentral describes it as "partial 23S ribosomal RNA". It matches the Rfam family "Bacterial large subunit ribosomal RNA", at positions 1 to 2088 of the family's 2925-position model. The record is from RNAcentral. Lineage: Bacteria; Bacillati; Actinomycetota; Actinomycetes; Kitasatosporales; Streptomycetaceae.